UCUAACUCAAGUAAUGUAAGGACUUUUGUAGCCUCUACAAACCAGUAAUGAAAGAUAUCUAUGGAAGCUCCAAAAGACCUUAAGAGGAAAACUGAAUCACCCAAUCAGAAGACCAGCAAUAAUGACCUAAAGUACUUUCUCCUGACCUCAUGGAGUCUGAAUAUCAACUAUCCUCCAAUUUUCUAGUAGAGUUUUCCUCACCCUUACCUACCUUCCCAAUUCUCUGCCCCCAACUAGCAUGAUUUAGAACCAGUCUCUAGAUCUAGGCUUUCCUAUCCCUUUAUCCAAUGCCUAGUCCUGCUAGAUGCCAAUAAAGGACCCUACAAUAAAUAAUCCAUCAGACUUAUCAGUUGGGGGAAAAGUGCUCCAUUUCCUCUGGGGUCUGAGGAAGAUGCUCAAUUUCAUCAAGAAGCCCAACGAACCUAUUUACAUCAUUCCCUCUGGCUACCCUUCAUUUGUAAAAACAGUUCCGGGAUAAGAUAGCCUCAGAGUAAAAACAAAGCUCUUCCUCUCCUCUCCACCGCCCAAUAUAAAGUGCCUCAAAAGGACAAUAAGCAAGAACAGAUGAGUGAAGGAGCUCCACUAUAGGGCACAGCACUGAAGAUAGGCAGAGUUUGGGCAUUUCCACACUAAAAGAGGACAAAAUUACUCCCACCAAAGAGUGAGCUCAUCACCCCGCCCCCACUCCACCUACAGUGCCAGAGUCUGAGGAAAUGUGUAGAUUGGGCAGAGAGAGGCUGCUCACAGCAGAUACUGUAGGGAUUCAAAAAUAGCCUCAGGGCAAAAACCUCUUUGGAGCUCAAUACAAAGACUUUUCUACCCUCCUCACUCGGACUUCUGCAGGGCAAUCUCUAGGUUCUAAGGGGCUGUCUGGGGACACCACAGACUUACCCUGAGAGAAGGAAGACUUGGGAUUCCAGAAGGCUGAAGAAACACAGCAGACACUGGAGAGACUUAAAAAAUAGCCUCAGGGCAAAAACCUCUCUGGAGCUCAAUACAAAGAUUGCCCACCUUCCUCAUUCAGACUUAUGACCAGGAAGGAACAAAGGAAUAGCCACCAACAACCAAGAACUACAAUCCACAACUAUCAAAAAAAAAGGAACAAAGAAACAAAGAAAAAAGAAAAAACCUUGACCCUAGAUAAUUUUUAUGCAAAAAAACUCCAGAUCAGAGAGGAGAUAGCAAAAGAUGAAAAACAAUUAAACACAUCCAAACAUUCCAAAAG
Gracilinanus agilis (Agile Gracile Mouse Opossum) is the source of this 1225-nucleotide long non-coding RNA. RefSeq lists it as uncharacterized. Lineage: Eukaryota; Metazoa; Chordata; Mammalia; Didelphimorphia; Didelphidae. The record is from RefSeq and is a predicted model, not a curated record. The transcript is spliced from 2 exons.